GAAUAUUGCGCAGUGGGGGGAACCCUGACGCAGCGACGCCGCGUGAGCGAUGAAGGCCUUCGGGUCGUAAAGCUCUGUCCUCAGGGAAGAAGAAAGUGACGGUACCUGAGAAGAAAGCCCCGGCUAACUACGUGCCAGCAGCCGCGGUAAUACGUAGGGGGCGAGCGUUGUCCGGAAUUAUUGGGCGUAAAGGGUGCGUAGGCGGCUUCUUAAGUCAGAUGUGAAAGACCACAGCUUAACUGUGGGGUUGCAUUUGAAACUGGGGAGCUUGAGUUUCGGAGAGGGUAGUGGAAUUCCCGGUGUAGCGGAGAAAUGCGCAGAUAUCGGGAGGAACACCAGUGGCGAAGGCGACUACCUGGACGACAACUGACGCUGAGGCACAAAAGCUAGGGGAGCAAACAGG
RNAcentral lists this ribosomal RNA (403 nucleotides) under uncultured bacterium. RNAcentral's name for it is "bacterial SSU rRNA". It matches the Rfam family "Bacterial small subunit ribosomal RNA", at positions 359 to 776 of the family's 1533-position model. The record is from RNAcentral.